Molecule: transfer RNA, 74 nt
Filed under: Bacillota bacterium
Lineage: Bacteria; Bacillati; Bacillota
Also listed under: 1 other name
Description: tRNA-Trp
Rfam family: tRNA
About the family: Transfer RNA (tRNA) molecules are approximately 80 nucleotides in length. Their secondary structure includes four short double-helical elements and three loops (D, anti-codon, and T loops).
Source: RNAcentral
AGGGAUGUAGUUAAAUGGUAUAACUAUGGUCUCCAAAACCAUUGUCGUGGGUUCGAUUCCUACCAUCCCUGCCA